GAAGCUGGCCAGACAGUCGCUGCGCGCGCAAGUGCGGAGAGGAAAGUCCGGGCUCCACAGAGCAGGAUGCCGGUUAACGACCGGACGCCGCGAGGCGAUGGAAAGUGCCACAGAAAAUACACCGCCGAUGGCCGCGCAAGCGGAUCAGGCAAGGUUGAAAUGGCGAGGUAAGAGCUCACCGCGCUGGUGGCAACAUCAGCGGCAGGGUAAACCCCAUCCGGAGCAAGAUCAAAUAGGCAGGCUAUGACGUUGCUCGCGUCGCCUGCGGGUAGAUUGCUUGAGCGUCAGGUAACGAAACGCCUAGAGGAAUGACUGUCCACGACAGAACCCGGCUUACCGGCCAGCUUCACCU
Molecule: RNase P RNA, 352 nt
Filed under: Gallionella sp.
Lineage: Bacteria; Pseudomonadati; Pseudomonadota; Betaproteobacteria; Nitrosomonadales; Gallionellaceae
Description: RNase P RNA component class A
Rfam family: Bacterial RNase P class A
About the family: Ribonuclease P (RNase P) is a ubiquitous endoribonuclease, found in archaea, bacteria and eukarya as well as chloroplasts and mitochondria.
Source: RNAcentral